Molecule: ribosomal RNA, 429 nt
Filed under: Fusobacteriota bacterium
Lineage: Bacteria; Fusobacteriati; Fusobacteriota
Description: Fusobacteria bacterium partial 16S ribosomal RNA
Rfam family: Bacterial small subunit ribosomal RNA
Source: RNAcentral
UGGGGAAUAUUGCGCAAUGGGCGAAAGCCUGACGCAGCGACGCCGCGUGAGGGAUGAAGGUUUUCGGAUCGUAAACCUCUGUCAGAAGGGAAGAAACCGCACUGUGCUAAUCAGCAGUGCCUUGACGGUACCUUCAAAGGAAGCACCGGCUAACCCCGUGCCAGCAGCCGCGGUAAUACGGAGGGUGCAAGCGUUAAUCGGAAUUACUGGGCGUAAAGCGCACGUAGGCUGCUUUGUAAGUCAGGGGUGAAAUCCCACGGCUCAACCGUGGAACUGCCGUUGAUGCUGCUUAGCUUGAAUCCGGGAGAGGGUGGCGGAAUUCCAGGUGUAGGAGUGAAAUCCGUAGAUAUCUGGAGAAACAUCAGUGGCGAAGGCGGCAACCUGGACCGGUAUUGACGCUGAGGUGCGAAAGCGUGGGGAGCAAACAGG